AACGCACAUUGCGCUCUUUGGUAUUCCGGAGAGCAUGCCUGUUUGAGAAUCAGUAAAUUCAUCAACCCAAGGUUCUCGGAAUUUAUUCUGAGAACUGGAAGGCUGGAUCUGGGCCAUUUGCUGCUUCGGCAGCAAUAACCUGAAAUUGAAUGUUACGCUCCUAUGGACUGUGAAGUCUUGGGCAAACGCAUGAAUGAGGUAACUCAGAAGUACGUGAGCCUUUGAGAUGGAUCAAUUCUUUAGUUGGGUGACUCAACUGAUUAACCAGAGUUUGUUGGCGUCAGCCGGCUUAUUCUGAACACUUGGUCUCAAAUCAGGUAGGAAAACCCGCUGAACUUAA
RNAcentral lists this unclassified non-coding RNA (340 nucleotides) under uncultured Rhizophlyctidales. Its description in RNAcentral is "sequence contains 5.8S rRNA gene, ITS2, 28S rRNA gene". The record is from RNAcentral. Lineage: Eukaryota; Fungi; Chytridiomycota; Chytridiomycetes; Rhizophlyctidales.